GAAACCCUCUCCUAAGCGCGAAAUUUGAAGACAAAGCAAAUUUCUCUCUUAGAAGACAAGAAAUUGAUUCUAUCGAAACACUUUUUCAAGUUGAUGCUAAGCUUUUGUUUGGUUGCUGGGAAAAUGGAGGAAAAUGCAUGGAAGCAAAUGUAAUUUUGAGGAUUCUGCUUGGUGUACUACAAGAUUGUUCACGUCCCUUUCAUUUUGAGGUUUUGGAAUUGUGAAGGGCUGAGUUCUUCGAUUGGUUCAUGUUUUGGGAAGGGUUGAGUUUUGCUGCCUUUCAUACUGGAAUAGUUUUUCUCUUCUCUCUUUAACACAUUCACCAACAUGAUAUCAACUUUGAAGACCAUAUUUUUUCAAUUUUCUGCAUAAUUGGGAAUUUUGGAGUUUGGAGUUUUUGCACAAGAUAUAUAUCAACAUGAAGACACUUGCACAAAUGAAAGCCAAGGUACCUUCUAGGAUUAAUGCUCAACAAUCGAUAUUUGAGCUGAGAAACAAAGUGGUUCUUGCACUAAGCAAGCUUGCAGAUCGAGAUACAUGUCAAAUAGGUGUUGAUGAUCUUGAGAAAAUAGCUCAAUCCUUGACCCCAGAGGAGAUUACUCCAUUUCUAUCUUGCAUAUUGGACACAGACAAGGAGCAAAAGAGCACAGUUCGAAAGGAAUGCAUUAGAUUGAUGGGUGUUCUGGUGAACUUUCACACGAGUCUUCUGGGACCACAUGUAGGUAAGAUGGUUGCUACCAUUGUCAAGAGGCUUAGGGAUCCAGACUCCGUUGUGAGGAAUGCUUGUGUGGAAACAAUGGGUGUUUUGGCUUCUAAGUUGAGCAAUCAUGGAGGUGAGAAAAGUGGAGUCUUUGUUUUGUUGGUGAGACCACUUUUUGAAGCUCUGGGUGAACAGAAUAAGCAGAUGCAGUCAGGCUCAGCAUUGUGCUUGGCUAGGGUCAUUGAUAAUACCCAUGAUCCUCCAGUUUCUGUUUUGCAACGGAUGUUGACUCGGACCAUAAAAUUGCUUAAGAAUCCACACUUCAUGGCAAAACCAGCAGUAAUCGAGUUGAAUAGAAUUAUUAUUCAGGCAGGGGGUGCUUCAUCACAAAAUGUUCUAUCUGCAGCAAUGACUAGCAUCCAUGAAGCACUCAGAAAUAGUGACUGGACAACUCGCAAAGCAGCUUCUAUAGCAUUAGCAGAAAUUGCUUCAAGUGGUCAAUCUUGGUUGGGAUCUUUCAAGUGUUCCAGCAUCAGUUCUCUUGAGUCCUGCCGUUUUGACAAGGUAAAACCAGUCAGGGACACAGUACUUCAUGCUCUACAGUACUGGAAAAGUCUUCCAGGGCCUGAUACUCCUGAAUCUUCGGAAACUGGAUCUUCAAUAAAAGAAAAUUACUGUAGAGGCGAGUACAGUGAUAUCACCAGUAUCAGUGACUCUGUGAGGAGGGAUGGCACACCAAAUAGAGUUACAAACUCAGCCAAAAGAAGGAUUCCUUUAUCUGUUAAGAAAUCAUAUGAAAAUUGCAUGGACUCUCGGCAUUCCAAAGCAGAUGAAUGGCAAAUUGAAAUUGCAGUCCCAAAAUCCCAUCAUGUUUCUUUAGCAGAUCUUUGUAAUGAGGAAUCUGAGGGUAGUUCUGUUACCAAGACAUUGGAAAGAAUCAGUUCUUACAAUAUUAGUACCCUGGAUAAUGGGUGUGAAUAUGUACCACUUGAUGACAAGCAAGAUUGUUCAUCAGUGUCCAACCUAGUUUCUGACAACUUUGAGACCAAGUUUGUGGCUGUUUCUCACGACUCACUUGAGGUUGAUGGUUUGUUAAGGUCUACAGGAAGAAACAGAGGGUUUGCAGCUGAAGUGAUUAAUAAUGAGGAACGAACACACUCUGCAAAGAUGAGAGAUUGUAGAAGUCUUGAUUCUACAGUCACGGAGACUAGUUUUCAACCUUUGCAUGGAUGCUGUUCACAGGUAGCCAAUGAAAUGGCUUGCAUUCAGAAACAACUUUUGGAGAUUGAAAACAAACAUUCAAGCUUAAUGGAAAUGCUACAGGCGUUUUCAACUGGCAUAAUGGAUAGCUUAUCCAUGUUAAGGUCUAAGGUGUCAGUUUUAGAGCAAGAAGUUGAUAGAAUAUCUCAUGCACUUCUGCAAGGGGGGAGACAUUCUGAUUCAGCAAUCUCUAAGCUCAUGAAGCAGAACCAAAGUGUUUCUUCUCCCAGACUUUCAACAUCCACACCAAGGCUGUCUGUUGAUAUUCGCAACAAACAGCCUUCAUUGUUUUCUACAAAGAAUUCUGACAUUUGGGAGGAAAAUACAUCUGGUAGAGGCAGAUCGAUGAAUUUGAAAAGGGCGACAGAGAUGAGGACAAAUCCUACUGUAAUGACUAGUAGGAAUGCCGUGAUGAAGGACAUGCAGAAAAGCUCUGGACAUGGAGCAUUGAAUUGCACAGGAAAAGUUGAUGCUGUCCUUGCUUCAAUUUCAGGUGCCAAUGCAAGAGAAAAUGGUCCAGAGAACAACAAUUGCCUAUGGCAACGUGUUAAAGGAUUUCUAUGUAAAGGGGACCUUGACUCUGCAUAUGCAGAAGCUCUUUGUUCUGUUAAUGAACUUGUUCUCAUUGAACUUCUGGAUAGAACUGGUCCUGUAUUGGAAAGUUUGUCCCACAAAACUGUCAGUGACAUUCUUAGCACUCUGGCAUCUUACUUCUUAGAACGAAGAUUUACAAACUCUAUAAUCCCUUGGUUGCAGCAGGUAGUGGACUUGAGCACAAUUCAUGGACCGGAUUACUUUGUCCUCUCUGCUAAAGCAAGAAGAGAAUUCUUGUCUGCAAUUCAGGAGGCUUUUAACAUGGAAUUUUCUAAUCCUGCACAGAGAAGAUCCGUCACUCAACUUGCAAUGAGAUUGUGCCACCUGUGGGGCAAUAGCUGCCAAUAAUCAGAAGACUUCUUUCAAAUAGGUGUAUUGUUCAUGCAACUGAUGUUGAAUCCGGGCCUUUGAAAAUUUUAUUUUCCUAGAUGUGUUUCGAGAAGAAAGGAUUUUAUUAUGAAUCUGGGGCUGAUUGUUUUGUGUUGCAUUUGGGUCAUUUAUUAAUUUCUUGCCUCCACAAUUCGGG
RNAcentral lists this unclassified non-coding RNA (3080 nucleotides) under Hevea brasiliensis (rubber tree). Lineage: Eukaryota; Viridiplantae; Streptophyta; Magnoliopsida; Malpighiales; Euphorbiaceae. The record is from RNAcentral.